GCUGCUCUGAGUUCUCUGUCAGGUUUCUCUCCAGGUUUUGUCUAGGGUUUUGUUCCAAGGAAACCUCAAAGUGUUUUGCUUCUCUUCCUUUUUCUGUAUGUUCUCCCUCUUUUAUAACCUGAUUUUCAUGGCUUUGUGGGCUUUUGAGAGAGAUCCAAGUCUGAGAUUUUUUCUUUUAUUUUUUUUUAUUAUUAUUUAUUA
Molecule: long non-coding RNA, 201 nt
Filed under: Lathyrus oleraceus (garden pea)
Lineage: Eukaryota; Viridiplantae; Streptophyta; Magnoliopsida; Fabales; Fabaceae
Description: Pisum sativum (pea) long non-coding RNA (PSAT_LNC008183)
Source: RNAcentral